RNAcentral lists this ribosomal RNA (530 nucleotides) under Thalassospira profundimaris. RNAcentral's name for it is "partial 16S ribosomal RNA". It matches the Rfam family "Bacterial small subunit ribosomal RNA", at positions 388 to 946 of the family's 1533-position model. Lineage: Bacteria; Pseudomonadati; Pseudomonadota; Alphaproteobacteria; Rhodospirillales; Thalassospiraceae. The record is from RNAcentral.
CCAGCCAUGCCGCGUGAGUGAAGAAGGCCUUCGGGUUGUAAAGCUCUUUAGAGCGAAGAUGAUGACGGUAACAUCAGAAGAAGCCCCGGCUAAUUUCGUGCCAGCAGCCGCGGUAAUACGAAAGGGGCUAGCGUUGUUCGGAUUUACUGGGCGUAAAGGGCACGCAGGCGGUCUUGCCAGUCAGGGGUGAAAGCCCGGGGCUCAACCCCGGAACUGCCUCUGAUACUGCAAGACUAGAGACUAGGAGAGGGUGGUGGAAUUCCCAGUGUAGAGGUGAAAUUCGUAGAUAUUGGGAGGAACACCAGAGGCGAAGGCGGCCACCUGGACUAGAUCUGACGCUCAGGUGCGAAAGCGUGGGGAGCAAACAGGAUUAGAUACCCUGGUAGUCCACGCCGUUUUUUUAUGAGUGCUAGUUGUCGGGACUUCGGUUUCGGUGACGCAGCUAACGCAUUAAGCACUCCGCCUGGGGAGUACGGUCGCAAGAUUAAAACUCAAAUGAUUUGACGGGAAGUGGGGGGGAGGGGGGGGGU